RNAcentral lists this ribosomal RNA (509 nucleotides) under uncultured bacterium. RNAcentral's name for it is "partial 16S ribosomal RNA". It matches the Rfam family "Bacterial small subunit ribosomal RNA", at positions 899 to 1397 of the family's 1533-position model. The record is from RNAcentral.
ACUCAAAUGAAUAGACGGGGGCCCGCACAAGCGGUGGAGUAUGUGGCUCAAUUCGAUGCAACGCGAAGAACCUUACCUGGGUUUGACAUGUACCGUGAAAGCCGAUGAAAGUCGGUGACGGCCCGAAAGGGUGCUGGGGGUACACAGGUGCUGCAUGGCUGUCGUCAGCUCGUGCCGUGAGGUGUUCGGUUAAGUCCGGUAACGAGCGCAACCCCUAUGUCCUGUUGCGAAGGCCGAAAGGCACUGCACUCUGGACAGACUGCCCUGUUUCAACGGGGAGGAAGGUGGGGAUGACGUCAAGUCCGUAUGGCCCUUACACCCAGGGCUGCACACGUACUACAAUGCCCGGUACAGAGGGACGCAAGACCGCGAGGUGGAGCAAAUCCCUAAAACCGGGCCCAGUUCAGAUUGUAGGCUGCAACUCGCCUACAUGAAGUUGGAAUCGCUAGUAAUGGCGCAUCAGCUACGGCGCCGUGAAUACGUUCCCGGGCCUUGUACACACCGCCCGU